Molecule: long non-coding RNA, 780 nt
Organism: Salvia miltiorrhiza (redroot sage)
Lineage: Eukaryota; Viridiplantae; Streptophyta; Magnoliopsida; Lamiales; Lamiaceae
Exons: 2
Source: RefSeq, a predicted model, not a curated record
CGAGUCCGUUGACUGCAAACUGUGCCGAAAUGUGCAACCAUUCUUCCACUCUCUUGCAACAGCUGCAGCUUGCAGCCACCACCGCGCCGCCAUUGCUCUCCGGUCUUCAAACAACCGCAACCUAUAAAAGUUAAGUGAAAAAAAUUGCACAAGAUUCUAUCAGGUUGACUCGGUUGGGUCGAAAAUCAAAAUCCGUCUUAUUUUAUUUUCGACCUAUUUGAAAUACAAGUUUCAAUUGGUCGAUUAAUUUUUUCUUGUGUUGGUCGAUCAUCUGAUUUACUGAAAUUCGAUCGAUCAAUCGGCUGAUUGAUAUCCAAUAAAUAAAAGAGGAAGAAAUUGAGAAGGAAUAAGGAGCAGAGUUGUAUAUAAGGUUUCCUUCCGUGGUUGAUUAUAAUUUAGAGCUUUUUUACUUAUCAUAAUAUUUUAGCUGAUGUUUUUGUAUGUCUGGAGAAGCAGAUUUAAGGGUGUUGAGCUCAAGAUUGUUUGUGAUUUUAGGUUGUUAGAGUGGCAUAUGUAAUUAUUUAGUGUUUAGAUGAUGAGAAGCAUAAUACUAGUGAUGUCUUGUUGUAAUUUCAAAUUCUAGCAUAUACACGUCUCCGUGUUCUCAGAGAUGGCAGAAGGUCUGCUUCUUUCUUUGCCACACACGAGGAUCAACUGAGCUGCUUUGAAACGUGUAUGAUUAUGUUAUGUAUCCACAACCUAACUUUCCAUCAUUCUUGUAUUUAAAAGCAUCACCUGUUGAAAUUAGAGUUUGUGUUGACACUAGUUACUUUUCCCAUC